UACAGAGGGGGCAAGCGUUAUUCGGAAUUAUUGGGCGUAAAGGGUGCGUAGGCGGUUUUUUAAGUCAGAUGUGUAAUCCCCGAGCUCAACUUGGGAACUGCAUCUGAAACUGGAAGACUAGAGUGCUGGAGAGGAUGGUGGAAUUCCACGUGUAGCGGUGAAAUGCGUAGAGAUGUGGAGGAACACCAGUGGCGAAGGCGGCCAUCUGGACAGUAACUGACGCUGAAGCACGAAAGUGUGGGUAGCAAACAGGAUUAGAUACCCUGGUAGUCCACACCGUAAACGAUGAACACUUGGUGUAGUGGGCGUUGACCCCCACUGUGCCGUAGCUAACGCGAUAAGUGUUCCGCCUGGGGAGUACGGUCGCAAGGCUG
Molecule: ribosomal RNA, 374 nt
Filed under: uncultured prokaryote
Description: bacterial SSU rRNA
Rfam family: Bacterial small subunit ribosomal RNA
Source: RNAcentral